GAUGAACGCUGGCGGCGUGCCUAAUACAUGCAAGUCGAGCGAACGGACGAGAAGCUUGCUUCUCUGAUGUUAGCGGCGGACGGGUGAGUAACACGUGGAUAACCUACCUAUAAGACUGGGAUAACUUCGGGAAGCCGGAGCUAAUACCGGAUAAUAUUUUGAACCGCAUGGUUCAAAAGUGAAAGACGGUCUUGCUGUCACUUAUAGAUGGAUCCGCGCUGCAUUAGCUAGUUGGUAAGGUAACGGCUUACCAAGGCAACGAUGCAUAGCCGACCUGAGAGGGUGAUCGGCCACACUGGAACUGAGACACGGUCCAGACUCCUACGGGAGGCAGCAGUAGGGAAUCUUCCGCAAUGGGCGAAAGCCUGACGGAGCAACGCCGCGUGAGCGAUGAAGGUCUUCGGAUCGUAAAACUCUGUUAUUAGGGAAGAACAUAUGUGUAAGUAACUGUGCACAUCUUGACGGUUCCUAAUCAGAAAGCCACGGCUAACUACGUG
This 497-nucleotide ribosomal RNA is filed under the name uncultured bacterium. RNAcentral's name for it is "partial 16S ribosomal RNA". It matches the Rfam family "Bacterial small subunit ribosomal RNA", at positions 28 to 507 of the family's 1533-position model. The record is from RNAcentral.